GUCUUAAAAGCUAUCAGCAUUCUAAUUUGUAAUUAGAGGGAGAUCGGAGAAGUUUUCGGUUUAAGGCU
This 68-nucleotide transfer RNA is filed under the name Gorgonocephalus chilensis. RNAcentral describes it as "tRNA-Thr". The record is from RNAcentral. Lineage: Eukaryota; Metazoa; Echinodermata; Ophiuroidea; Euryalida; Gorgonocephalidae.